CUCGGUGGAGGCCAAGCAUUCCAGAUGGUAUAGCUACAGCUGAAGGAGGGCCAUCUGAUCCACAUUGGACUGUGAUUUUCCAAUCUUGCCUGGAGUGAAGAAUUUGGUGGAGUGGGGCAUGACAACAUUCCAACAGCAGGAAUCUCUUAUCUAGGUUAUGUUAGGAUCUUGCUACUAAAAGUGUGUCCAUGGACUGGCAGCUUCUACAUCACCUGGGAGCUUGUUAAAAAUGCCGACUUUACAUGUUAACAAGAUCGACAGAUGAUUCCUAUGCACAGCCAAGUUUGAGAAGCAUUGUUUUCGAAUGCUUCCCCCUCCUUCCUCAACACAUAUGUACCCAAACAUACUGAGAUUGAGGCCA
Long non-coding RNA from Diceros bicornis minor, 361 nucleotides. RefSeq lists it as uncharacterized. Lineage: Eukaryota; Metazoa; Chordata; Mammalia; Perissodactyla; Rhinocerotidae. The transcript is spliced from 3 exons. The record is from RefSeq and is a predicted model, not a curated record.